GAAUGCAUGUCACAUAUUUUGGAACCAAGGUUUGGACGAAAUUGAAGACUUAAAGAGGCUAAGAAUGUGAAGAAUUAGUGUACAAAGGAUCAUGAACUCAACCACAAAAAGACACACAUCCUUGCCGUGCAAUCCACAUAGCAUUCCCUUUGGAUUCCCAUGCAUGCUUAAUCAUCCUUGUCCCCUAAAAUAUUUCUGAUUUCAUGCCUCAAUACACUCAAUUAUCACACUCAAUUGAUGCAUACCUCUUGUUCCCUUCACCCAUCAGAUUUCACAACCAUUCCAUGCACCAAUUGAUGCUCCAUCAUCCACAUUUGGGAUCCAAUGCCUUGUGCAACACAU
Molecule: long non-coding RNA, 342 nt
Filed under: Malus domestica (apple)
Lineage: Eukaryota; Viridiplantae; Streptophyta; Magnoliopsida; Rosales; Rosaceae
Description: long non-coding RNA (MDOM_LNC018881)
Source: RNAcentral